AGAGUUUGAUCCUGGCUCAGGACGAACGCUGGCGGCGUGCUUAACACAUGCAAGUCGAACGCUGAAGCCCUUCGGGGUGGAUGAGUGGCGAACGGGUGAGUAACACGUGGGUAAUCUGCCCUGCACUCUGGGAUAAGCCUUGGAAACGGGGUCUAAUACCGGAUAGGACACGUGGCCGCAUGGUCUGCGUGUGGAAAGUUCCGGCGGUGCAGGUUGAGCCCGCGGCCUAUCAGCUUGUUGGUGGGGUGAUGGCCUACCAAGGCGACGACGGGUAGCCGGCCUGAGAGGGUGACCGGCCACACUGGGACUGAGACACGGCCCAGACUCCUACGGGAGGCAGCAGUGGGGAAUCUUGCGCAAUGGGCGAAAGCCUGACGCAGCAACGCCGCGUGGGGGAUGACGGCCUUCGGGUUGUAAACCUCUUUCGACAUCGACGAAGCCUUCGGGUGACGGUAGGUGUAGAAGAAGCACCGGCUAACUACGUG
Molecule: ribosomal RNA, 485 nt
Filed under: uncultured Saccharopolyspora sp.
Lineage: Bacteria; Bacillati; Actinomycetota; Actinomycetes; Pseudonocardiales; Pseudonocardiaceae
Description: bacterial SSU rRNA
Rfam family: Bacterial small subunit ribosomal RNA
Source: RNAcentral